AUGCAUGAGCCUGCAUGGAAGGAGCGGUGGCGGUUCGUCCAGUUGGCGAGAAGGGGGUGGCCGUGGCGGAGAGCUGGCUGGGAGUGCGGUGGCCCACCACAGGAGAUGGGGGGGACAGCGCGCAGGUGGGGGGCUCGGGUUCCGCAUGAGCAUGCAACGGUGGAGGGGAAGGCACGUGGCCAGGGGUGUCGGGAUUCGGCAGGAGCGGCUCGCGCGGCAGCACUUGGGCGGGGAUGGCAGCCGAGGCCUGGUUGGCGGCCUCGGGAUCCUACAAGUGGGCCUCGCAUGGCAGCACCAGAGGGGGCGAGGCAGCCGUCAUCUGAUUGGCGGCCACGGGAUCCGCCCGAUCCGCUGACGGCCGGGCUGUCGGGAGAGGCGAGGCGGGGGUGUCGACAUCCCUGGCGCUUGCCAGGAGAGGGGCCCCGGAAGGCUCGCGAACAGGACUCGCAUGAGGGGAGGCCUCGUCAGGGUCGUGGUGGGGCCUGA
Molecule: ribosomal RNA, 486 nt
Filed under: Triticum aestivum (bread wheat)
Lineage: Eukaryota; Viridiplantae; Streptophyta; Magnoliopsida; Poales; Poaceae
Description: partial small subunit ribosomal RNA
Source: RNAcentral